UUGUUUAAUUGACUAUAUGGUCUUUGGUUUUCUAGCUGUAUGAUUGUAAAAUUUGUUGAAAUCACACACUAGAUUACCAAUUUCAUAUAUUAUAUGUGAUCAUCU
RNAcentral lists this microRNA precursor (105 nucleotides) under Schmidtea mediterranea. RNAcentral's name for it is "microRNA sme-mir-9a precursor". Its record names the gene sme-mir-9a. Lineage: Eukaryota; Metazoa; Platyhelminthes; Tricladida; Dugesiidae. The record is from miRBase by way of RNAcentral.